Rhizobium etli CNPAF512 is the source of this 289-nucleotide non-coding RNA. NCBI's taxonomy places the organism in Bacteria, Pseudomonadati, Pseudomonadota, Alphaproteobacteria, Hyphomicrobiales, Rhizobiaceae. The record is from Rfam.
CUUCCUCGAUCUGCUGCGGCGCGAUGAAAUGAAUAUGGCUGUCCAUGCCGCCAGCGGUGACGAUCUUCCCCUCGCCGGCGAUCGCCUCGGUGCCCGGGCCGACGAUGAUAUUGACGCCGGGCUGCAUAUCGGGGUUGCCUGCCUUGCCGAUCGCAGCGAUGCGCCCGUUCUUCAGCCCGAUAUCAGCCUUGUAGAUGCCGGAAUGAUCGACGAUCACGGCAUUGGUGAUGACGGUGUCGACCGCACCAUCCGCCCGCGUCACCUGGCUCUGGCCCAUGCCGUCGCGGAU